GGAGGAUGCGAGCGUUAUCCGGAUUUAUUGGGUUUAAAGGGUGCGUAGGUGGUGAUUUAAGUCAGCGGUGAAAGUUUGCGGCUCAACCGUAAAAUUGCAGUUGAUACUGGAUGUCUUGAGUGCAGUUGAGGCAGGCGGAAUUCGUGGUGUAGCGGUGAAAUGCUUAGAUAUCACGAAGAACUCCGAUUGCGAAGGCAGCCUGCUAAGCUGCAACUGACAUUGAGGCUCGAAAGUGUGGGUAUCAAACAGGAUUAGAUACCCUGGUAGUCCACACGGUAAACGAUGAAUACUCGCUGUUUGCGAUAUACGGCAAGCGGCCAAGCGAAAGCGUUAAGUAUUCCACCUGGGGAGU
This 352-nucleotide ribosomal RNA is filed under the name uncultured bacterium. Its description in RNAcentral is "bacterial SSU rRNA". It matches the Rfam family "Bacterial small subunit ribosomal RNA", at positions 527 to 881 of the family's 1533-position model. The record is from RNAcentral.